GGAAUCUUCCACAAUGGGCGCAAGCCUGAUGGAGCAACACCGCGUGAGUGAAGAAGGGUUUCGGCUCGUAAAGCUCUGUUGUUAGAGAAGAACACGAGUGAGAGUAACUGUUCAUUCGAUGACGGUAUCUAACCAGCAAGUCACGGCUAACUACGUGCCAG
This 161-nucleotide ribosomal RNA is filed under the name uncultured bacterium. RNAcentral describes it as "partial 16S rRNA". It matches the Rfam family "Bacterial small subunit ribosomal RNA", at positions 358 to 511 of the family's 1533-position model. The record is from RNAcentral.